Molecule: ribosomal RNA, 251 nt
Filed under: uncultured prokaryote
Description: partial 16S rRNA
Rfam family: Bacterial small subunit ribosomal RNA
Source: RNAcentral
ACGGAGGAUGCAAGCGUUAUCCGGAUUCAUUGGGUUUAAAGGGUGCGUAGGCGGUUAUUUAAGUCAGUGGUGAAAUGCUGUCGCUCAACGAUAGAAUUGCCAUUGAUACUGAGGAACUUGAGUUCAGUUGAAGUAGGCGGAAUGUGUAGUGUAGCGGUGAAAUGCUUAGAUAUUACACAGAACACCGAUUGCGAAGGCAGCUUACUAAACUGUUACUGACGCUGAUGCACGAAAGCGUGGGGAUCGAACAG